RNAcentral lists this long non-coding RNA (1375 nucleotides) under Anas platyrhynchos platyrhynchos (common mallard). Its description in RNAcentral is "lncRNA (ENSAPLG00000028373.1)". Lineage: Eukaryota; Metazoa; Chordata; Aves; Anseriformes; Anatidae. The record is from RNAcentral.
AUGAGUCAUUUCUCUGCACACAGCAAGGCCCACAUACCAAAAACCAAAACACACUUUGCAAAGUGCGGGUACCCCAAAAUGACCCGAAAUGAUGCCAGGGCACCGCGGGCUCACUUGGGAUGGGGUGCCCAGUGUGCGGGCCCUGAAAGGAGGGCAGAAAAGCGGCGCUGCAGGCAGGAUGCAGCCUUGAAACGGGGCACACAGGAGCCAGAAGCACGGGGAAGCAUCCACCCAAAGUUGUGUCUGCAGAGCGGUGCUUGGAGGAGCCUCUUGCUCAGCAUCAGUGCCGUGACAGCUCUCCCAGCUCACCGCCCGCUGCCAGCCACGCUCUCCUAUUGUUCCGAGCAGCUGCGGGCGGCAUCAACAACACCGGGAGAGGCAGGAAUUAGCUGGGGACACCCACUAAUUGCCCCCCCCAGCUACCUGCACCCCCAGGAGGGGUGGAUGCCAGCCGGGGACAGGCGCUGCCCGCCUUCCUCCACCCCAACACCCGCAGCCUCCCCCUCGCCCACCCGCCGGCCGAGGGCGGUGCUUGCGGCUCGGGGCGGUCCCGGCGUGGCCCCGCCGCCGUUCCCCGGUGCCCUGGAGCCUCUCCUGUCCCUGUCGCUGUCCCUGUCCCCAUCGCCGUCCCCAUCCUCGUCCCUGUCGCCGUCUCCCCGGGCCUGUCAGGGGCCGCCAUGGGGACCAACGCGCCGCCGCGCAGGGAGCCGCCCCCCCGCGGCCCCCACGGGGACUCGGCGCAGCCGGUGGACGUGCCACGCUGAGGUCAGAGCAUCUGUCGGGAGAGCUUUCCUGCAAAGUCAGGGAGCCUUGCAGCAUUUGGUUUUACUUCUGUGUGAUUCCGGACUGUCUGUCAUUCAAACACCGCGUGUUAAAUCAAAGCUCUCGUAAAAUAUAACACGGAUAGCCAACCCAACUGAGAAAUGAGACUAUCCUGUAGGUUAAGUAAGAAUAACCACUGAGCAUUACUCAGAUGCUUUUUAUGUGAGUGUCUGUUUCAGAUAACUAUCGAAAGGAAGGAAGGAAAGAAGUAAAUUACCAUUUACCAUGGUUGUUGUUGUGUUGUUUUUUUUUCCAAACCAUUAUUUUUUCUUUCUUUCUAAAUGUCAUCCUGAGCUCUGAAGCUUUUCUCUUUGUCAUAUACAAGGUUCUGGCUUCCUGUCCAAGUAAAACACAUUUACAGAAGGUUUGUGGCAGGCUUUUCAUACUGUCUUUAGAGAUAGUACCUCCUUUAAAAUUGUGUGCUUGCUUGUAAUUUUCUUUGACUUUUGCUUGUUGCUUGGAAAAGAAAACCGUUCCUGGAGGUUGCUGGUAAGGAAAAUAAGAGCUACAGAUAUUCCAAACAAAAAAUGAGGACGCUUCAUUCCUGACCCAG